Molecule: long non-coding RNA, 1167 nt
Organism: Capsicum annuum
Lineage: Eukaryota; Viridiplantae; Streptophyta; Magnoliopsida; Solanales; Solanaceae
Exons: 2
Source: RefSeq, a predicted model, not a curated record
AGACUACACAUUUCUCUGAAUAUCUCUUUCUUAGAAAAUACUAGGUAUCUUCUAUAUGAGUGAGUGAGAAACACUUCUCCCGCGAGGGAAAAGUAACAAAUAGUUUGUGUGUGAGUAUAAGGAAGAUCUGAUUAAAGAUUUUUCCUGUGUUGUAAUAUAUUCAUGAAAUAAAAAGUUUGUUUUAUAUAUCUUUUGUCAUUUCUAUAUGUUGGUGAUAAAUGAAGGUUGCAAUCUUCAGCCUCGACGGAGGAAGAACGGCACAAUAGCCUGAGACAGUGAGUCGCAAUAGGCUAAAUAAUUCUUCAUAGCCGGAAGGAGAAGCACUACGAUGUUGAUACAGCCAAUAUAAAAGAAAGUCAAAAAGGAAAGCAUUAUUUACAUCCAUUUGGAAGAUGUCCCACUUCUUGGAGGCUGCCAGGCUUAUCACAGCUCUGACUGUCAUAAUUUUAGCAACAGGUGAGAAGGUAUCAUGAUAAUCCAAACCUUCCUGCUCAUUGUAUCCUUCGCAAAUAAUCUAGACUUGUAUCUUUUAAUGCUUCCAUCAGCUUUAUAUUUAAUCUUGUAUACCCAUUUAAAACCUAUGGCAUGUUUCCCUGGUGGCAGAGGGACCAGGUCCCAAGUCUGAUUUUCCUCCAAGGCUUGAAUUUCAAGCUACAUAGCCUUAAUCCAGUGUUCAUUUUUUGCGGCUUCUUUAAGAUUUUGUGGUUCAAUUUGAGCUAAAAAGGCUUGCAGAUAGGCUUGGUAUGCUGGUGAGACAUUAUCAUAAGACAACACAUCUGAGAUAGAAUAAAGGGUCACACCUCCAGACUUACCACCAGAUUUAGUAGUUACAUAAUCCUUUAACCAUAUUGGCAGAUUGGCACUCCUUGUUGUCCUUCUCAAGUCUGCUGGGUGUGGAACAGGUGGAAAUGAAUGUUCCACUGGUGACACUUCAUCAGCUUCAACUGUAGAAUGUUGCGUAUUAUUUGCAACUUCUGGAACACCAGAAAAGCUAGCAGGAUUAUUAUAUACAGGGGCAUAUGAUGCAGGCAUGGGUAUUGGAGAAGGGUCAGGAUGGUGAUGAUCAUUGACAGAGUGUGGAACAUAAAAAAUAGUGGUUCCUUCAUAUGUGAUUCCCUUUAAAGGAAAGACGUCCUCUCUGAAUACCAUAUCUCUACUGACCCAACA